GAAGUCGGCUGCUGGUUUCCAUGGUGAUGGCGCUGGACUGGUGGGCUGAACCGGCUGACAGGGUCGGGGACAGAAGGAAGAGCAGGUUUCUCACGGCAUGUCAGCCCAGGGCUCCCACAUGUGGCCUCCCACCCUCAUCUUCACACAUUCUCACACCUUCCGGAGUACAGAGGCGAGUGGGGUGCAGAUGGUCCUCCCUACAUCGGCCUCCUGCCCCCAACAGGAUUCCUCACAUCCCAGGACCAGCUGGAAAAGGUGGUGAGAGUUGGAAAGAGACUGCUCAGUGAGGACUGCCCUGCGAACCAGCUUGGAUUCAUCCCGUUCACCUCCACGUUCUGCACUCGGGGCCGAGGGAAGGGAGGCAGCCCAGGCAGCUAGAGAACUUGAUGAAACACACUCAAUCUGAAUCUCGCUUGAUCGUCAUGCUGACCCAGUGAGGCCUCUCCAGCCCCUGCUGGGACCACUGGCCCAGGAGGAAGUCUGGGCUCUGGCUGCCACCUGCUUCCUCUCAGGAGUUCUUCUCCCUCCCAAGCAUGGAUUUGCAUUUCCCCCUCUGCCUUCUGCUACUCAAGCCCCCAGGGAUGAGGUGACAGUUAACCCCCCACUUCCUGCUAGUGGCCCCAGAGCGCUCACUUCCUUCCAGGUAUUUUCCGGGAUGGGGGAAGGGGUUGAAAGGGUGGUAGUUGCUGGGUUUGGAAAGGGGAUGAGGGAUCCAUUUUGGAGAGAAACUGAGGUCCCCCUACCCUGCUGUCUGAAGCUGCUCCUUCCCUUCCCUCACGCUCACUCUGUAACACAAGAGCUCAGUUUGCAGGAAGAAGAGUGCAUAGGCCGGAAGCAGCACACAGGGGCUUUCAAAAUGGGCUAGGCCAGCUCUCUCUUAGAGGCCCAGGCCUCUAUCCGCCAUAGAUAGACCCCCAAGGAAAGUUCCUUGGACUUCAAGUUCCCUAUCGGGACAACAUAAUGUCUGCCCUCUACCCGGAAGGCAGAGGGUUGAGAAUGGGGGAGUGCCAAGGCAUAGAGGGGAAAUGUUUUCCAUCCUAUUUCUCAGAGGAUCUGGCAUGCUGGUACCAGCAGCACAAGGCAGAGUGUUCUCUGCACUCAGUUCCCGCUUCCUGGGAUCUUAUGGCAGAGAAACACAGCAUCUUUAGACAAGAGGUACUGAGCUAGGCAGUGUAGGACAUACAAAGUAGCAGCGACCCGCUCCUGAAGUCAAGCUGACCAGUCUCUGGGGCUCAGUCCUCUCCUCUAAAAAGUGAGGGGCUGGCCUAAGUCAUGACUCCCCCAGUCCUAAUGUUCUGUGGUCUGCCUUCACUCCUCUGUAGACUCUGCAUUUCACCUUCCCACUGGUGAAGGCCUCGAAACCCCAAGACUGAGGCAGGCAGCCAUGUGCUCUUCUCCCCAGUCUAAACCUUAUUGGUGCAACCUAUAGCAAUUUUUACCAAGUGUGGCUGUCUGUUCUCCUAGGUCAGACAAGACUGGAAGGGGGACAGCCACACAUGAGCAACAGAAGUGACAGCUGACAGGUUGCUAUGAAUCCAAGAGGUAGAAAAAGAGUCAGUCCCGGAACCAUUUCACCACAUGAUACAAAAAUGGAGGUUUACAACAAUGACUUUGAACCAAAUCAGGUUAAAUCACAUUCAGAAUCUUGUAUCCAAAUAGCAAGGAAGUAUAUAACACAUUUUUAAAAAUUUAAGCUAGGUGUAGUGGCACAUGCCUGUAGUCCCAGCUACUUGUGAGGCUGAAGCGGGAGAAUCUCUUGAGCCCAGGAAUUCAAGGCCAGUCUAGGCAACAUAGUGAGACCCUGUCUAAAAAAAAAGAACCACAGAAAAACAAACAAAAAAACAAAAAAAAAACCCAAACCAAACUUUAUCUUAUAAAAAACGAGAACAUAAAGAUUAAAAUUUUAAAAAAACCUUGGCCAGGCACAGUGGCUCACGCAUAUAAUCCUAGCCUUUUAGGAGGCUGAGGCCGAAGGAACACUUGAGGCCAGGAAUUUGAAACCCUGUCUCUACAAAAAAUACCAAAAAUACCCCCAAAAUGAGCUGGGUGGAGUGGUGCGCACCUGUAUUGUUAGAUACUCUAGGAGCUGAAGUGAGAGGAUUGAUUGAGCCCAGGAGCUGGAGGCUUCAGUGAGCUACAAUCGUGCCACUGCGCUCCUGCCUGGGAAACAGAACAAGACCCUGUCUUUGGAAAAAAAAAAAAAAAAAAAAAGCCCUGGUGCUUGAAGGAAAAUGUUUCUGUUUUGAUUCAGUUUUGAUGUAUUUAUGUAUGAUAUAUGUGGUGGAACACCUAUUACCAUUACCCAACAAUGCUGGAAGGAUGAAAUUCUUGUCACACCUAUCUAGAACUUACCUAGAGAUAGGCAACCUUGGAUAAUGACAAUUCCUUACAUAGUUUACAACUCUCAAAUUGCUUUUGCCUAAAUUAUUGUAUUUGAUUUUUUUUUUUUUUUUUUUGAGACAGGGUCUUGCUCUGUUGCCCAGGCUAGAGUGCAGUGGCACAACUGGGACUCACUGCACCCGUGACCUCCUGGGCUCAAGUGAUCCUCCUGCCUCAGCCUCCCAAGUAGUUGGGACUACAGGCGUGUGCCACCACGCCCAGCUAAUUUUAAAAAAAUUUUUAGUAGAGACAGGGCAUCGCCCUUUGCACAGGCUGAUCUCAAACUUCUGAGCUCAAGCAAUCCACCUGCCUCAGCCUCCCAAAAUGCUGGGAUUACAGGCGUGAGCCACCACACCCAGCCAAAGCAAACUUUUUAUUUGAAGUAUAACAGUGAACAAAUCCUAAGUAUAUAACAAUAUAUUUCCAGAAAGUGAACUGACCUACAUAACUAGCAUCAAGAUCAAGAUAAAAGGCCGGACGCAGUGGCUCAUGCCUGUAGUCCCAGCAGUUUGGGAGGCCGAGGUGGGUGGAUGGCUUGAGCCCAGGAGUUCGAGACCAGCCUGGGCAGCAUGACAAAACCCCGUCUCUACCAAAAUAUAAAAAUUAGCUGGAUGUGGUGGUGGAUGCCUGUAGACCCCGCUACUUGAGGCACUGAGGUGGGAGGAUCAACUGAGCCCAGGAGGUUGAGGCUGCAGUGAGCCAUGAUCAUGCCACUGCACUGCAGUCUGGGUGACAAAGUGAGACCCUGUCUCAAAAAAAAAAAAAAAAAGUGAAAGAAAAUAAAAGAAAGAAAGAAAGGGAAGGAAGGGAGAAAGAAAAGAAAGAAAAAGGAAGGAAGGAAGGAAGGAAAGAAAGAAACAAAAUAUAACCAGCACCUUAGGUGCUUCUCAUGCCCUCCUCCACCACCACCUAUCACAGCUAACCACGAUCCUGCCCUUAACAUCAUAGUUUUGUCAACUGCACUUCCUAGACAAGAAACUUCAUUUUAGAGGUGACUUGGGAAAGUCACAGGGUUGGUGGCUGGUGGAGGCAGCAGGGCCAGGACUCUGCCCUUAGUUAGAUACAUGUAUUUUCAUCGCACAAGUCUCAGUGUUCCAGUGGGGUGUGACGGUGCCAUCAUCAGUCUGCAGAUUGAGGGAGGUGAGGAGGAAAAAGAGAGGUUGGGAGGUGUGGGGCACACAGGUCAGCAGGUGCGUAAGAGCUGCUGGAGUGGAAUAGAAGAUGCAGCCAGGGGUAACUCAUGAAGGGCUAGACUGGUUUCCCAAUGCUCUGCACAGGAAUCCUUGAGUAAAUCCCAAGGAUCCCCUCCCUGGGCCAUUGCCCCACUGCCUCCAUCUCUUUGGCUAAUUUUAGACUUAGGGACUAGAGUGGUGGGAUUAGAGUGGUUGGUGGGCUCAACGUGUAGGGACAAUGUGUUGUAAUAACUUCACUCAGAAGAAAGCUAAUGCCUCACACUGGUUCUGUUGAACACUUAUGGAGGGAAAAAAACUUGCUGUGUUUGUGGACAACUAUGUCACAAACAGUUAGUAGCCCUAAACUUAGUGUGGACAUUAUAUUUCUUGAGCUGAGGCUCCACUACUUGAUUAUGGCUAAAACACUUUUAACUCUUUUCUUCCCCACCCCGAGACAGAGUCUUGCUCUGUCACCCUAGCUGGAGUGCAGUGGCACGAUCUUGGCUCACUGCAACCUCCGCCUCCCGAGUUCAAGCACUUCUCCUGCCUCAGCCUCCCAUGUAGCUGGGAUUACAGGCGCCCGCCACCACACCUGGCUAACUUUUUAUAUUUUUAGUAGAGACGGGGUUUCACCAUCUUGGCCAGGCUGGUCUUGAACUCCUGAUCUCAUGAUCCACCCACCUUGGCCUCCCAAAGUGCUGGGAUUACAGGCAUAAGCCACCGUGCCCAGUCAAGACACUUUAACUCUUUGAGUCUCAGUCUCCUCAUCACCAAAUAAGGAUGUUAACUAGUUCCAGGGUUUCUGUGAGAAUCAAAUGAGAUACUGGAUAUGAAAGCCCUUUGUCAACUGUAUUUGGGUUUGUUUUGUUGUUUUCUGAGACACGGUCUCACUCUGUCCCCCAGGCUGGAGUGCAGUGGCGCCAUCACGGCUCACUGCAGCCUCAAACUCCCAGACUCAAGGGAUCCUCCCACCUCAGCCUCCCAAGUAGCUGGGACUACAGGUGUACACCACCAUGCCUAGCUAAUUUUUUGUAGAGAUGGGCUUUUGCCAUGUUGCCCAGGUUGGUCUUACACUCCUGGGUUCAAAGUGAUCUGCCCGCUUUGACCUCCCCAAGGUGCUGGGAUUAGAGGCAUGAGCCACAGCACCCAGCACCUUUGUCAACUGUAAAAAUAUUUACAUGAAAGGCUUUACUGAUACUAAACAUGAACCAGACUUCCAGACAAAGUUAUUAUUAGUCUGUUCUUAAACAUGACCUACCUGCCUCUUUCAUAGAGACCAGAUGUCAGGGAGGGGACCUGAGGAUCAAGUAGCAGGCUGCAGACAGACUAGGAGUAACAAGGCAGAAGCCACACCAAGAGCAAAGCCUCAGUUCCCAACCCUGGUGAAACUGCUCCCCUCCAAGACCAGACCAUCCUGACCCUUGCUCUAUCAGCUACCAGUCCUUUCUUGAGCUGGAGGCUGCAUUAUCAAUGCACUGCCACUGAGCUCCUCAGUGUUCUGGGAGACCCUAAUUCCACAGUAUGUGGCAGGGAGGAAGCAGGGAAUGAGGCAAGGGCAGGCAAGGGGAAGGCAGCCUGGCUACUAUUCCUAGUCUCUGUCUGACUUGCAUCUGUCCUUGUUGAGCUAGGGAGGAGGCUUGCUCUUCAGGAGAGAAGCCAAACUACUGAGCAAGACAAGGAGAGAUCUUAAGAUGCUAUGCACUCAGAACUUCGGCAGCCAGGACGGGACUGAAACUCUGACAGACACAAUGGGCCAAUGGGGCAGGACAUAGCUCUCAUGGCUGCCCUCAUAGCCAUGGAAAGCAGGGCAGCAGUACCAGGACCGCCCACUCCCAGGGAGCUGUGAACCAAGUCCUUGUCUUAGUUUCUUUGGGUUCCCAGUAGAGGAUGGGACUCCAGCACCUUUCUGCCUGUCUGGGUUGCUGAGUGGCACCACCUGCAUGUUCAAGUACCAGAGAAAGCAAGAAAGCUAAUUCAGCAGCAGCUCCCGGGGAGAGCCCACUUGGCACAGUCUGUAGAGUCCAGGAAGGAAAACAGGCCACCCUUCCCCCACAAGCAUCAAUGCCUAUGCUAUGUCUUUUGCUUCCUGUGAGACUGUCAGUUAGGGCCCAGUUCAGUGUAGGGCUGAGGCAGCCUGAAUGUGGUUAUUUGUGCAAGCUCCUCUUGCCUCCCCUCCCCACAACUGUUUCCAUUCUCACCAAGCAGCCACGUCCGGGUCAGACACCCAGGACAGCAGCUGGGGCUUUCCAAGGGACUUUUUGAGAAGCUAGUGAAAGUUGGGUGUUGGCUGCACAGCCUGGGCACUUGCUGAAACGCACUUCUUCCAUCCAGGACGUAAGCUCUAGCCUGGCAGGGUUGCUUUCAGGUUGAAAUUGAACAGAAAUCACCACCCACGGAGCUUUCUGUUUGCUGGGCUGGGGAAAUCCUUGAGAAACUCAGUUUGGAGUUGGGGUUAUCUGACCAUUCCCUCAGAGCUUGAAGGCACCAGAGAAAAUGGUUUUGGUUUGAAGACCAUAGUGGACAUGAGCAGCCCGGCCAGUCCCAGUUUCCCUCCCAUAGGCCUAUGUGAGGACAAGGAAGGGGAGUAGACAAACUAAUCAGAGUCAGGUCGCAUCUCUCCUCCUUCCCACACUCUCCAGGCCACAGGUAACAAGCAAAAUCAACUCAAGAGCAACACCAGGUGGCUGAGACACAAAGCCCUAGCACAGGCAGCUCUGCCCUAGCACAGCACAGCUCACCCUGCAGUUGUGGUUCUCAGCAUUUCCCCUACUAUUUUGGCUGAUUGUGCACAUAUUCUAUGUAUUGAAAAAUGGCCCAA
Molecule: long non-coding RNA, 6369 nt
Filed under: Homo sapiens (human)
Lineage: Eukaryota; Metazoa; Chordata; Mammalia; Primates; Hominidae
Description: HSALNT0243112
Source: RNAcentral